RNAcentral lists this ribosomal RNA (740 nucleotides) under bacterium IMCC11289. Its description in RNAcentral is "bacterial SSU rRNA". It matches the Rfam family "Bacterial small subunit ribosomal RNA", at positions 28 to 749 of the family's 1533-position model. The record is from RNAcentral.
GACGAACGCUGGCGGCGUGCCUAAUACAUGCAAGUCGAGCGGACCGAAGGGAGCUUGCUCCUUUAGGUUAGCGGCGGACGGGUGAGUAACACGUGGGCAACCUGCCCUGCAGACUGGGAUAACUUCGGGAAACCGGAGCUAAUACCGGAUAACACCGAAAACCGCAUGGUUUUCGGUUGAAAGGCGGCUUUUAGCUGUCACUGCAGGAUGGGCCCGCGGCGCAUUAGCUAGUUGGUGAGGUAACGGCUCACCAAGGCGACGAUGCGUAGCCGACCUGAGAGGGUGACCGGCCACACUGGGACUGAGACACGGCCCAGACUCCUACGGGAGGCAGCAGUAGGGAAUCUUCCGCAAUGGACGAAAGUCUGACGGAGCAACGCCGCGUGAGCGAAGAAGGUCUUCGGAUCGUAAAGCUCUGUUGUCAGGGAAGAACAAGUACCGUUCGAACAGGGCGGUACCUUGACGGUACCUGACGAGGAAGCCACGGCUAACUACGUGCCAGCAGCCGCGGUAAUACGUAGGUGGCAAGCGUUGUCCGGAAUUAUUGGGCGUAAAGCGCGCGCAGGCGGUUCCUUAAGUCUGAUGUGAAAUCUCGCGGCUCAACCGCGAGCGGCCAUUGGAAACUGGGGAACUUGAGUGCAGGAGAGGGGAGCGGAAUUCCACGUGUAGCGGUGAAAUGCGUAGAGAUGUGGAGGAACACCAGUGGCGAAGGCGGCUCUCUGGCCUGUAACUGACGCUAG